Molecule: long non-coding RNA, 640 nt
Organism: Mercurialis annua (annual mercury)
Lineage: Eukaryota; Viridiplantae; Streptophyta; Magnoliopsida; Malpighiales; Euphorbiaceae
Exons: 2
Source: RefSeq, a predicted model, not a curated record
AAUUGAAAGGUAUGGAGGUGGCAACUUUAAGGAUUAAAAGAGAUACUUUGCCAUUAAUAUAAAAGCCUAUUUUAUGUGAUUUAAACUCAGAAUAAUUCCAUUUUCAGCUUCCAAAAACGAGCUCAUCUCCUUCCUUAGAGAAAUCAACAUGAAAAAUUUUCAAAACUCCAUAACUUCUUCGUUUUUGAUCCGAUUGGAGUGAUUCUUGCGGCAACGGAAAGAGGAAAACGAUACCUACUGAUUGAGAUCAUCAAAUCAAGUGUGUUUUUCAGGUACCUAGAUUCUGAACUUGGCUAGAAGUCCGUCUUUAACCUGAAGUCCCUUUGAGUCCCGACUUCCAUAAUUGCUGCAGUAGUGUAAUGUCUGACCAGUGUAGUAGCCUAGUACAUUAAUACAUUUUUCAUUGUUUACAGUUGUUGUCAGUGUGUUUAUAUUUAUUUUGGCUACGAUUGUCAUAUUUAUUCCACGGAGGUAAAUUCCCAUGAGGUGUAUGUAACACUAGUAUUAUAUGCCAGGUUAGUACGUACAAGGUACGGAAACGAUAGGCCCGAGCAAGUUGUAUUGUUUUACUAGUGUAUAUAAAUGCUUCAGUUUGUAAAGUCUUUGUAUAAUUGUUAUUUGCGAAAAAAAGUUUUAGCGA